UGGGGAAUAUUGCGCAAUGGAGGAAACUCUGACGCAGCAACGCCGCGUGAAGGAAGAAGGUCUUCGGAUUGUAAACUUCAGACGCUGAUGAAGAAAAAAAUGACGGUAAUCAGGCCGAAGCCCCGGCUAACUACGUGCCAGCAGCCGCGGUAAUACGUAGGGGGCAAGCGUUAUCCGGAAUUACUGGGCGUAAAGGGUGAGUAGGCGGUUAGGUAAGUCAUAUGUGAAAGGUUGGGGCUCAACCCCAAGAUUGCAUAAGAAACUAUCUGACUAGAGUACGGGAGAGGUAAGCGGAAUUCCUAGUGUAGCGGUGAAAUGCGUAGAUAUUAGGAAGAACACCGGUGGCGAAGGCGGCUUACUGGACCGAAACUGACGCUGAGGCACGAAAGCGUGGGGAGCGAACA
This 404-nucleotide ribosomal RNA is filed under the name uncultured Eubacteriales bacterium. RNAcentral's name for it is "uncultured Clostridiales bacterium partial 16S ribosomal RNA". It matches the Rfam family "Bacterial small subunit ribosomal RNA", at positions 355 to 774 of the family's 1533-position model. The record is from RNAcentral. Lineage: Bacteria; Bacillati; Bacillota; Clostridia; Eubacteriales.